RNAcentral lists this transfer RNA (74 nucleotides) under Luteolibacter yonseiensis. RNAcentral describes it as "tRNA-Gly". It matches the Rfam family "tRNA". Rfam says of the family: Transfer RNA (tRNA) molecules are approximately 80 nucleotides in length. Their secondary structure includes four short double-helical elements and three loops (D, anti-codon, and T loops). Further hydrogen bonds mediate the characteristic L-shaped molecular structure. tRNAs have two regions of fundamental functional importance: the anti-codon, which is responsible for specific mRNA codon recognition, and the 3' end, to which the tRNAs corresponding amino acid is attached (by aminoacyl-tRNA synthetases). tRNAs cope with the degeneracy of the genetic code in two manners: having more than one tRNA (with a specific anti-codon) for a particular amino acid; and 'wobble' base-pairing, i.e. permitting non-standard base-pairing at the 3rd anti-codon position. The record is from RNAcentral. Lineage: Bacteria; Pseudomonadati; Verrucomicrobiota; Verrucomicrobiia; Verrucomicrobiales; Verrucomicrobiaceae.
GCGGCCAUCGUCCAAAAGCAGGACAUCUGGCUUCCAAUCAGGGAAUGCCGGUGCGAAUCCGGCUGGCCGCGCCA